AGAGAGAGAGAGAGAACGGAGCAGCUAAAUCGUUAAUGAUUUCCUCAGAAAUCAAAGCAAUUAAAAGUUACCUACAACAACUGUACCAUGAAUCACUUGAUCAUUGAAUAACAGCAAAGAUGGCGAGAUGAAUUAUUCAGUCUCUUUGAAACAACAGCAAAAAGAAUUCGGAUCCAAUUCGGAUUUGAUUUCGGGUCAACUCAUCUAUAGCUUUAGAACUUAUGUUUGCAUUCCUGCGAGCCUAAAUAAUUUUAUAGAAUCAAAUCGGGUGGGUUUGUAGAAUUGAAAAUCUAAAAUUAUCCAAAUUUCAAACGGAUCGGACCGGGUCUGAAUUCAGUAAACUAAGACCCGAUCCGAAAAAUAGAAUAGGUCUAAUUUUAGGAUCCAACUUGGCCCAACGGGUCCUCCAAAAAUGGAUCAGGUCGGAUCUAAGCAAGUCAGGUCGGUUCACGGGUCAACCCGACCCAUUUGCAGCCUUAACUAUAGCCGAGGAGUAGUUUUUCAAAUCCCUUUUAUUAUAAUGCAUUAGAUACAACAAUGAACAAAAAGAUAGAUUUGCACAAAAGAACCAAGUACCACACAAAUUUAUUCUUUUCAAAACCCAAAAAAUAUUCUACGAAGACACGUGUGGGCAUGUGUUUAGUCCCACAUUGGUUAU
This 658-nucleotide long non-coding RNA is filed under the name Phoenix dactylifera (date palm). Its description in RNAcentral is "long non-coding RNA (PDAC_LNC002519)". Lineage: Eukaryota; Viridiplantae; Streptophyta; Magnoliopsida; Arecales; Arecaceae. The record is from RNAcentral.